CAACAGGGAGCGGCGUGGGAAGGAGGGAGCGAAGCGCCGUGCCGGUGUCACCUCUGCGGCACAGCCCUGGGGGGGUCCCGGCUGCCACUCUUGGAGCUCUGCAGUGAAGUCCCUGCGUGCACGGAGAGCCCCCCGUGUGCUGUCCGGUGCAUUGAGUCCGAGGUGGCUCAGCGCGAUGCAACCCCAUCGCCGUGCCCAAAGGCUCUCCCUCCAACGCACCUCCUAUCGACGUCGCCCCGAUUUCCAGCAUCGCUGCGUUGAAAAAUGGCAGGGGAGGGUUUGGCAGCGCGGCCGCGCGUGGAUUAUUCAACAAUUGUUUCCCAUUUUGCGCCCUCGCCUGCCUCAUCCUCCAGUAACAAUGACGAAGAGCGGCGCGGAGCCAGCGCCCGCGGCAGGGGUGUUGAGAUCAGGGACAGCACAAAAAUAUCUUCUCUCUGGAACAAAUAUUUACCAACCCUUCUGCCUUUUGUUCUUGUGGUUCUCAUAUUUUUUUUCCAGACAUUCACUGGCAAAAUGUCACAUUAAACAGCAACCCAGAAACUUCGGGGUAGCUGCUUGGCUGCUCUGGGCUUUGUUUUUCUCGCGCGUUAAUUGUUAAUGAAUUUCCAGCCAUUCAAGCCAACACAAACCUGUGAGAAAAAG
Gallus gallus (chicken) is the source of this 642-nucleotide long non-coding RNA. The record is from Ensembl. Lineage: Eukaryota; Metazoa; Chordata; Aves; Galliformes; Phasianidae.